Molecule: long non-coding RNA, 326 nt
Filed under: Ricinus communis (castor bean)
Lineage: Eukaryota; Viridiplantae; Streptophyta; Magnoliopsida; Malpighiales; Euphorbiaceae
Description: long non-coding RNA (RCOM_LNC000046)
Source: RNAcentral
AUAAUAUAAUUGCUUUCUCUCAUUCUCAACACUAGGAAAGAAAGAAAGAAAGAAAGAAGAAGAAGAAAAAGAAGACAAAGGCUUUCCCAUUGAUAUCCUCAUCAAUCAGAUCCCAUCCCAUCCUAUCAUGACCUGCACAUGAGAGAGAGAAAGAUCACGCAAAAUAUAGUAAAUGAGGUGCAAGAAGCAUCCCUCCGAUCUUACCAGCACUGUAGGUGUCUGCGCCUCAUGUCUCUCCGAACGCCUUCUUUCACUCAUGGCCGCUCAGGCUCAAGCUGACGCUCAAUUAGCUCGCGCUAACUCACGCUCCGCCAUUAUUGACAGCC